UGUGACACAGAAACUCAGAUGCCAUGGGAGAAACAGUCUCCUGACUUCAUGCGCUGACUUACCGUGCUCUCUGUGCUUUGGCUGCCAGUCUCACCUUCCUCAGCAGUGCCACUUUAAAUCUGACUGCUAGCUUCAGCCAGGGAGCUGUUAGUGCCUCUGCAUCCACACACAGAGAAAGGAGGCAAGAGGAGCAGGAGGAGCAAAUGCAGGAGGAGCUUCAGUCCAAGGGCUCUGCAGGCAUCUUUCCCUGGUGAGAAUGGUUGAUCCUCAUUUGACCUUUCCGAUACACAGAUAAAGAAUGUAAUACAGCAUGGACUCAAAAUAUAGUGGGUGAAUCCGUUCCAGAAAUGGCCUUGUGGGAUGGAGG
This is a long non-coding RNA of Pipra filicauda (Wire-tailed manakin), 367 nucleotides long. RefSeq lists it as uncharacterized. The transcript is spliced from 4 exons. Lineage: Eukaryota; Metazoa; Chordata; Aves; Passeriformes; Pipridae. The record is from RefSeq and is a predicted model, not a curated record.